This is a long non-coding RNA of Papaver somniferum (opium poppy), 199 nucleotides long. RefSeq lists it as uncharacterized. The transcript has 3 exons. Lineage: Eukaryota; Viridiplantae; Streptophyta; Magnoliopsida; Ranunculales; Papaveraceae. The record is from RefSeq and is a predicted model, not a curated record.
GGUACGAAUCACAGUCACAGAACAACAAAUUGAAAUCUAAAGAUCAAAGUUUAAAGGCUAGCAGAAGAAGAUCGAUCUCAUGUAUUUAAAGGUUCACUGUAAAGGUUAACUUCAGAUCUCGUGUUUGAAUUUCGGAUUUCAUCUUCUUACAGUUACAAUCAAAAUCUACCGAGAAUACUCAUACCAGCAGAUGAAAUAC